CUAUUCUAUAUCAAUCACAUAUCAGAAACAGAACUUUUUUCCACAGCAUUUUUCUUUCAUUAAUUUCAGGUAAAUUCAUUAAUUCUCAGAUGAUGCAAAUGCAAAACUGUAACUUCAAAUGAACCAGAAUCAGAUGAU
This is a long non-coding RNA of Sphaeramia orbicularis (orbiculate cardinalfish), 138 nucleotides long. RefSeq lists it as uncharacterized. The transcript has 3 exons. Lineage: Eukaryota; Metazoa; Chordata; Actinopteri; Kurtiformes; Apogonidae. The record is from RefSeq and is a predicted model, not a curated record.